This 506-nucleotide ribosomal RNA is filed under the name uncultured bacterium. RNAcentral's name for it is "partial 16S ribosomal RNA". It matches the Rfam family "Bacterial small subunit ribosomal RNA", at positions 29 to 523 of the family's 1533-position model. The record is from RNAcentral.
AGUGAACGCUGGCGGCAGGCCUAACACAUGCAAGUCGAACGGCAGCACAGGAGAGCUUGCUCUCUGGGUGGCGAGUGGCGGACGGGUGAGGAAUACAUCGGAAUCUACUCUGUCGUGGGGGAUAACGUAGGGAAACUUACGCUAAUACCGCAUACGACCUACGGGUGAAAGCAGGGGAUCUUCGGACCUUGCGCGAUUGAAUGAGCCUAUGUCGGAUUAGCUAGUUGGCGGGGUAAAGGCCCACCAAGGCGACGAUCCGUAGCUGGUCUGAGAGGAUGAUCAGCCACACUGGAACUGAGACACGGUCCAGACUCCUACGGGAGGCAGCAGUGGGGAAUAUUGGACAAUGGGCGCAAGCCUGAUCCAGCCAUACCGCGUGGGUGAAGAAGGCCUUCGGGUUGUAAAGCCCUUUUGUUGGGAAAGAAAUCCAGCUGGCUAAUACCCGGUUGGGAUGACGGUACCCAAAGAAUAAGCACCGGCUAACUUCGUGCCAGCAGCCGCCGUAA